UCAGACGAUGCGUCAUGCAUAUCAAUAAGCGGAGGAAAAGAAACUAACAAGGAUUCCCCUAGUAACGGCGAGUGAAGCGGGAAGAGCUCAAAUUUGAAAUCUUAAAGGGUUUCCCUUUACGAAUUGUAGUUUAAAGAAGUGUUUUCUGUUGAGGUUUUGGUAAAAGUUCUUUGGAAUAGGACAUCAUAGAGGGUGAGAAUCCCGUAUUUGACCUUUACUUUCAACUUUGUGAUACACUUUCAAAGAGUCGGAUUGUUUGGGAAUGCAGUCCAAAAUGGGUGGUAAAUUUCAUCUAAAGCUAAAUAUUGGCGAGAGACCGAUAGCGAACAAGUACCGUGAGGGAAAGAUGAAAAGAACUUUGAAAAGAGAGUUAAACAGUACGUGAAAUUGUCAAAAGGGAAGCGUUUGACACCAGUGUUGUUUUUCUGAAUAUCAAUUAAAGAACUGUUUAUGCUAAGUUGUUUAGACUUUAUCAGCUAACUGUUUAGUUUUGAGCUUUUCUUUAUGCACUUUUCAGUUAACAAGUCAACAUCAAUUUCUUUUGCUGUAAAAAAGCUUAAGGAAGGUGGCUUGAGAUUCGUCUUAAGUGUUUAUAGCCUCUUGCCUAUGCAGUCGGAGAGAUUGAGGUCUGCAGCGUAGAUCCUUCGGGGCUAAAUGCAUUUGUGCUAAGUUAUAGCAUUUUAUAGACAACUUGUUGACUAUGAUUUGUCUUGUAGCUUACUCGCUUAUGUUAUUUUACCUACGCUUAGGAUGUUGAGCGCAUGUCUCUCUCU
Molecule: ribosomal RNA, 773 nt
Filed under: uncultured Neocallimastigales
Lineage: Eukaryota; Fungi; Neocallimastigomycota; Neocallimastigomycetes; Neocallimastigales
Description: partial large subunit ribosomal RNA
Rfam family: Eukaryotic large subunit ribosomal RNA
Source: RNAcentral